This 315-nucleotide ribosomal RNA is filed under the name Boophis quasiboehmei. RNAcentral's name for it is "partial 16S ribosomal RNA". It matches the Rfam family "Bacterial large subunit ribosomal RNA", at positions 2219 to 2597 of the family's 2925-position model. Lineage: Eukaryota; Metazoa; Chordata; Amphibia; Anura; Mantellidae. The record is from RNAcentral.
AUUCUAUACCCCAUUAUUUGCCCGACCUCUGUCUGCUCAGUUUUAGGUUGGGGUGACCACGGAGUAUAAAAUAACCUCCAUGAANAAGGGGAUAUUUCCCUUAUUAGAGAACCACACUUCCAAGAACUAAUAAAUUAAUUUUCAAUGACCCGAUACCCGAUAAUCGAUCAACGAACCAAGUUACCCUGGGGAUAACAGCGCAAUCCACCCUGAAAGCCCUUAUUAACAGGUGGGUUUACGACCUCGAUGUUGGAUCAGGGUAUCCCAGUGGUGCAGCAGCUACUGAGGGUUCGUUUGUUCAACGAUUAAAACCCU